CAGUGCCGCGGGAAUACGUAGGUGGCAAGCGUUGUCCGGAAUUAUUGGGCGUAAAGGGCUCGCAGGCGGUUUCUUAAGUCUGAUGUGAAAGCCCCCGGCUCAACCGGGGAGGGUCAUUGGAAACUGGGAAACUUGAGUGCAGAAGAGGAGAGUGGAAUUCCACGUGUAGCGGUGAAAUGCGUAGAGAUGUGGAGGAACACCAGUGGCGAAGGCGACUCUCUGGUCUGUAACUGACGCUGAGGAGCGAAAGCGUGGGGAGCGAACAGGAUUAGAGACCCGGGUAGUCCCUGUCUCUUAUACA
This 301-nucleotide ribosomal RNA is filed under the name uncultured bacterium. RNAcentral describes it as "partial 16S ribosomal RNA". It matches the Rfam family "Bacterial small subunit ribosomal RNA", at positions 509 to 808 of the family's 1533-position model. The record is from RNAcentral.